Molecule: non-coding RNA, 72 nt
Organism: Phascolarctos cinereus (koala)
Lineage: Eukaryota; Metazoa; Chordata; Mammalia; Diprotodontia; Phascolarctidae
Source: Ensembl
UAGAAUAUGGUGUAAAGGAAGCACGGGGAAUUUUGAGUUCUUUAAUGUGGGUUCGAUUCCUGCUGUUCUAGA